This 425-nucleotide ribosomal RNA is filed under the name uncultured bacterium. RNAcentral describes it as "partial 16S ribosomal RNA". It matches the Rfam family "Bacterial small subunit ribosomal RNA", at positions 354 to 796 of the family's 1533-position model. The record is from RNAcentral.
GUGGGGAAUAUUGCACAAUGGGGGAAACCCUGAUGCAGCAACGCCGCGUGAGUGAUGAAGGUCUUCGGAUUGUAAAACUCUGUCUUUGGGGACGAUAAUGACGGUACCCAAGGAGGAAGCCACGGCUAACUACGUGCCAGCAGCCGCGGUAAUACGUAGGUGGCAAGCGUUGUCCGGAUUUACUGGGCGUAAAGGGAGCGUAGGCGGAUUUUUAAGUGGGAUGUGAAAUACCCGGGCUUAACCUGGGUGCUGCAUUCCAAACUGGAAGUCUAGAGUACAGGAGGGGAAAGUGGAAUUCCUAGUGUAGCGGUGAAAUGCGUAGAGAUUAGGAAGAACACCGGUGGCGAAGGCGACUUUCUGGACUGUAACUGACGCUGAGACUCGAAAGCGUGGGGAGCAAACAGGAUUAGAAACCCGUGUAGUCC